GAUGACUCUGGAUAACCUUUGCCGAUCGUAUGGCCCCGAGCCGACGACGAAUCUUUCAAAUGUCUGCCCUAUCAACUUUCGUUGGUAGGUGAUUUGCCUACCAAGGUGUUUACGGGUAACGGGGGAUCAGGGUUCGAUCCCGGAGAGGGAGCAUGAGAAACGGCUACCACAUCCAAGGAAGGCAGCAGGCGCGCAAAUUACCCACUCUUAGCACGAGGAGGUAGUGACGAAAAAUAACAAUACGGGACUCUUUCGAGGCCCCGUAAUUGGAAUGAGUACACUCUAAACCCGUUAACGAGGAUCUAUUGGAGGGCAAGUCUGGUGCCAGCAGCCGCGGUAAUUCCAGCUCCAAUAGCGUAUAUUAAAGCUGUUGCAGUUAAAAAGCUCGUAGUCGGAUUUCGGGCGGCGGCCAAUGGUUCGGUUCCGUGCCGAUACUGCUGGUCGCGGCCUCCACGCCGGUCGUCCUUCGGUGCUCUUAACUGAGUGCCUUAGGUAGCCGGAGCGUUUACUUUGAAAAAAUUAGAGUGUUCAAGGCAGGCCUCGAGCCUGAAUGAUGGUGCAUGGAAUAAUGGAAUAGGACCUCGGUUCUAUUUUGUUGGUCUUCGGAACUGGAGGUAAUGAUUAAUAGGGACGGACGGGGGCAUUCGUAUUGCGGCGUUAGAGGUGAAAUUCUUGGAUCGUCGCAAGACGGACUACUGCGAAAGCAUUUGCCAAGAAUGUUUUCAUUGAUCAAGAGCGAAAGUCAGAGGAUCGAAGACGAUCAGAUACCGUCCUAGUUCUGACCAUAAACGAUGCCAACUAGCGAUCCGGCUCCGUUGCUUUAUAAGACUGGCCGGGCAGCUCCCGGGAAACCAAAGUCUAUGGGUUCCGGGGGAAGUAUGGUUGCAAAGCUGAAACUUAAAGGAAUUGACGGAAGGGCACCACCAGGAGUGGAGCCUGCGGCUUAAUUUGACUCAACACGGGAAAACUCACCCGGCCCGGACACCGUAAGGAUUGACAGAUUGAAAGCUCUUUCUUGAUUCGGUGGGUGGUGGUGCAUGGCCGUUCUUA
This 1050-nucleotide ribosomal RNA is filed under the name Tetrastemma albomaculatum. RNAcentral's name for it is "SSU rRNA". It matches the Rfam family "Eukaryotic small subunit ribosomal RNA", at positions 245 to 1296 of the family's 1831-position model. Lineage: Eukaryota; Metazoa; Nemertea; Enopla; Monostilifera; Tetrastemmatidae. The record is from RNAcentral.